RNAcentral lists this ribosomal RNA (386 nucleotides) under uncultured bacterium. RNAcentral describes it as "bacterial SSU rRNA". It matches the Rfam family "Bacterial small subunit ribosomal RNA", at positions 28 to 417 of the family's 1533-position model. The record is from RNAcentral.
GACGAACGCUGGCGGCGUGCUUAACACAUGCAAGUCGAGCGGUAAGGCCCUUCGGGUACGACGAGCGGCGAACGGGUGAGUAACACGUGGGUGACCUGCCCUUAGCUCUGGGAUAAGCCUGGGAAACUGGGUCUAAUACCGGAUAUGACCUCAUGACGCAUGUUGUGGGGUGGAAAGCCUUGUGCGGCUAGGGAUGGGCCCGCGGCCUAUCAGCUUGUUGGUGGGGUGAUGGGCCACCAAGGCGACGACGGGUAGCCGGCCUGAGAGGGCGACCGGCCACACUGGGACUGAGACACGGCCCAGACUCCUACGGGAGGCAGCAGUGGGGAAUCUUGCGCAAUGGGCGAAAGCCUGACGCAGCGACGCCGCGUGAGGGAUGACGGCCU